AGGGUAGAUAUGAUCAAAAAUCAGGCCUGCCCACUGAAAAUUUGAAGGGCUGCAGUAUUUUGACUGUACAAAGGUAGCAUAAUCAUUAGUCUUUUAAUUGGAGACUGGUAUGAAAGGUUAGACGGAAAUAGUCUGUCUUAAAUAUAAUUAAUGAAUUUUAUUUUUAAGGAAAAGGGCUUAAAUAUGACAAAGGGACGAGAAGACCCUAUUAAAUUUGAGUAAUAAUUAUUUAUGAUUUUGAUUAGAUAAAAAUGGUGGGUAGUUAUUAAUUUUGCUGGGGCGGCAAAUAAUGAACAUUAUUUAUAUUUAAUGUAGUGAAUAACGAUUAGUUUGAUCCAAGUGGAUUGAUAAUAAGAUAUAGUUACUGUAGGGAUAACAGCGUAAUAUUUUUUGAGAGUUCUUAUUGACAAAAAUGUUUGCGACCUCGAUGUUGGAUUGAGAAGUCUUAUUGGUGCAGUAGUUUUUAAAGAGGGUCUGUUCGACCCUUAAAUUCUUACAUGAUCUGAGUCAAAAACCGGAGAACCC
RNAcentral lists this ribosomal RNA (525 nucleotides) under Harpagophoridae sp. RNAcentral's name for it is "partial large subunit ribosomal RNA". It matches the Rfam family "Bacterial large subunit ribosomal RNA", at positions 1836 to 2627 of the family's 2925-position model. The record is from RNAcentral. Lineage: Eukaryota; Metazoa; Arthropoda; Diplopoda; Spirostreptida; Harpagophoridae.